UCUCGCCGGAACGCCGAGCCCCCGGCCGGCGGCAGGGCUCCACGGGCGGCCGGCGAAGCAAAAACGCUCCCGGCUCUCCCUCCCCCGCCGCAACCCGAGGGGCCGAGCUCGCCCGGAGGCGCCUUUCCAAGGCACGAAAAGUCUGAUCGGGGUCCCCCAGCCCGUUUUGCAAACACAGACAGAGGUCUAAGGAUGAGGUUGCUCAGCCUGAGAUGCCCAUUUAAUCUUAUUUACUGAGUGAGAUGCCUCUGUCCUGUGUGUUAUACCAACAGACAAGGACUGACAGGUAACGGGGUCAUCCAGAUCACCUUGAUUCUUGGAAAGGAGGGUCCUUAUCAG
This is a long non-coding RNA of Cygnus olor (mute swan), 339 nucleotides long. RefSeq lists it as uncharacterized. NCBI's taxonomy places the organism in Eukaryota, Metazoa, Chordata, Aves, Anseriformes, Anatidae. The record is from RefSeq and is a predicted model, not a curated record. The transcript has 3 exons.